CCUACGGGUGGCUGCAGUGGGGAAUCUUGCGCAAUGGGCGAAAGCCUGACGCAGCGACGCCGCGUGAGUGAUGAAGGCCUUCGGGUUGUAAAGCUCUGUGGGGAGAGACGAAUAAGUGCGGGCUAAUACUCCGCAUGAUGACGGUAUCUCCUUAGCAAGCACCGGCUACCUCUGUGCCAGCAGCCGCGGUAAGACAGAGGGUGCAAACGUUGUUCGGAAUUACUGGGCGUAAAGCGUGUAUAGGCGGCGUGAAAGCCCUGGGCUCAACCCAGGAAGUGCACUCGAUACUGCAUGGCUUGAGUACCUGAGAGGUUGGUGGAAUUCUCGGUGUAGAGGUGAAAUUCGUAGAUAUCGAGAGGAACACCGGUGGCGAAGGCGGCCAACUGGACGGAUACUGACGCUGAGACACGAAAGCGUGGGGAGCAAACAGGAUUAGAUACCCGAGUAGUC
RNAcentral lists this ribosomal RNA (450 nucleotides) under uncultured bacterium. RNAcentral describes it as "partial 16S ribosomal RNA". It matches the Rfam family "Bacterial small subunit ribosomal RNA", at positions 338 to 795 of the family's 1533-position model. The record is from RNAcentral.